CUUCCUUCUCCAAGGCUUUGUUCUCCUUCGCUUUUAUCUCCUUAGCAAACUUAGCCAAGUCGUAAGCUCAACUGGCCUGGGCAUCUUCAAAUUCCUUCCGUAGCCGAGCUAUUAGCUCUUCAGAAGACUUCGCUUGUUGCUCUAAUUCUACAAUCCGACCAUUCGCAACUGAGAGCUGGUUCUUAGAAGCCAUGGCCUCCUGGACCGCCUUAGAGAUCUCCCUCCUUAGAAAGUUGACCUUCUGACCGACCAUGUGCUGGGUAGCGACGGCUUCCAUGCUCAGGCUCAUUGAUUGGUUGAGG
RNAcentral lists this unclassified non-coding RNA (302 nucleotides) under Hevea brasiliensis (rubber tree). Lineage: Eukaryota; Viridiplantae; Streptophyta; Magnoliopsida; Malpighiales; Euphorbiaceae. The record is from RNAcentral.